UGGCGACCAUAGCGUUGUGGACCCACCUGAUUCCAUGCCGAACUCAGAAGUGAAACGCAAUAGCGCCGAUGGUAGUGUGGGGCUUCCUCAUGUGAGAGUAGGACAUCGCCA
RNAcentral lists this ribosomal RNA (111 nucleotides) under Vibrio sp. 10N. Lineage: Bacteria; Pseudomonadati; Pseudomonadota; Gammaproteobacteria; Vibrionales; Vibrionaceae. The record is from RNAcentral.